CCUACGGGAGGCAGCAGUGGGGAAUAUUGGGCAAUGGGCGCAAGCCUGACCCAGCAACGCCGCGUGAAGGAAGAAGGCUUUCGGGUUGUAAACUUCUUUUGUCCGGGCCGAAGCAAGUGACGGUACCUGACGCAUACGCACCGGCUAACUACGUGCCAGCAGCCGCGGUAAUACGUAGGUGGCAAGCGUUAUCCGGAUUUCUUGGGUGUAAAGGGCGUGUAGGCGGGAAUGCAAGUCAGAUGGUAAAACUAUGGGCUCAACCCAUAGCCUGCAUUUGAAACUGUAUUUCUUGAGUGCUGGAGAGGCAAUCGGAAUUCCGUGUGUAGCGGUGAAAUGCGUAGAUAUACGGAGGAACACCAGUGGCGAAGGCGGAGUGCUGGACAGUAACUGACGCUGAGGCGCGAAAGCGUGGGGAGCAAACAGGAUUAGAUACCCUAGUAGUC
RNAcentral lists this ribosomal RNA (443 nucleotides) under uncultured bacterium. RNAcentral's name for it is "partial 16S ribosomal RNA". It matches the Rfam family "Bacterial small subunit ribosomal RNA", at positions 338 to 795 of the family's 1533-position model. The record is from RNAcentral.